RNAcentral lists this ribosomal RNA (249 nucleotides) under uncultured bacterium. Its description in RNAcentral is "partial 16S ribosomal RNA". It matches the Rfam family "Bacterial small subunit ribosomal RNA", at positions 1256 to 1500 of the family's 1533-position model. The record is from RNAcentral.
CGCGAAGGCAAGCGGAUCUCUUAAAGCUGUUCUCAGUUCGGACUGCAGUCUGCAACUCGACUGCACGAAGCUGGAAUCGCUAGUAAUCGCGGAUCAGCACGCCGCGGUGAAUACGUUCCCGGGCCUUGUACACACCGCCCGUCACACCAUGGAAGUCUGCAAUGCCCGAAGCCGGUGGCCUAACCACCUAUGUGGAAGGAGCCGUCUAAGGCAGGGCAGAUGACUGGGGUGAAGUCGUAACAAGGUACC